UCAGGAUGAACGCUGGCGGCGUGCCUAACACAUGCAAGUCGAGCGAUUCACUUCGGUGAAGAGCGGCGGACGGGUGAGUAACGCGUGGGUAACCUGCCUCAUACACAUGGAUAACAUACCGAAAGGUAUGCUAAUACAGGAUGAUAUAAGAGAUUCGCAUGGAUUUCUUAUCAAAGCUCCGGCGGUAUGAGAUGGACCCGCGUCUGAUUAGCUAGUUGGUAAGGUAAUGGCUUACCAAGGCGACGAUCAGUAGCCGACCUGAGAGGGUGAUCGGCCACAUUGGAACUGAGACACGGUCCAAACUCCUACGGGAGGCAGCAGUGGGGAAUAUUGCACAAUGGGCGAAAGCCUAAUGCAGCAACGCCGCGUGAGUGAUGAAGGCCUUCGGGUCGUAAAACUCUGUCCUCAAGGAAGAUAAUGACGGUACUUGAGGAGGAAGCCCCGGCUAACUACGUGCCAGCCGCCGC
Molecule: ribosomal RNA, 467 nt
Filed under: uncultured bacterium
Lineage: Bacteria
Description: bacterial SSU rRNA
Rfam family: Bacterial small subunit ribosomal RNA
Source: RNAcentral